This 460-nucleotide ribosomal RNA is filed under the name uncultured bacterium. RNAcentral's name for it is "partial 16S ribosomal RNA". It matches the Rfam family "Bacterial small subunit ribosomal RNA", at positions 338 to 795 of the family's 1533-position model. The record is from RNAcentral.
CCUACGGGAGGCAGCAGUGAGGAAUAUUGGUCAAUGGCCGGAAGGCUGAACCAGCCAUGCCGCGUGAAGGUCAGUGCCCUAUGGGCGUUAAACUUCUUUUGUGCGGGAGCAAUAAUGGUCACGUGUGGCCAGACGAGAGUACCGUACGAAUAAGCAUCGGCUAACUCCGUGCAAGCAGCCGCGGUAAUACGGGGGAUGCAAGCGUUAUCCGGGUUUGUUGGGUUUAAAGGGUGCGUAGGCUGUGAGGUAAGUCAGCGGUGAAAUGCCCCCGCUCAACGGGGUGAAUUGCCAUUGAUACUGCCUUGCUUGAAUGCGGAUGCCGUGGGAGGAAUGUGUGGUGUAGCGGUGAAAUGCAUAGAUAUCACACAGAACUCCGAUUGCGAAGGCAGCUUACUAAACUGCCACUGACAUUGAUGCUCGAAAGUGUGGGUAUCAAACAGGAUUAGAUACCCGGGUAGUC